ACAUGCAGUCGAGCGGUAGCACAGAGAGCUUGCUCUCGGGUGACGAGCGGCGGACGGGUGAGUAAUGUCUGGGAAACUGCCUGAUGGAGGGGGAUAACUACUGGAAACGGUAGCUAAUACCGCAUAACGUCGCAAGACCAAAGUGGGGGACCUUCGGGCCUCAUGCCAUCAGAUGUGCCCAGAUGGGAUUAGCUAGUAGGUGGGGUAAUGGCUCACCUAGGCGACGAUCCCUAGCUGGUCUGAGAGGAUGACCAGCCACACUGGAACUGAGACACGGUCCAGACUCCUACGGGAGGCAGCAGUGGGGAAUAUUGCACAAUGGGCGCAAGCCUGAUGCAGCCAUGCCGCGUGUAUGAAGAAGGCCUUCGGGUUGUAAAGUACUUUCAGCGAGGAGGAAGGCGUUAAGGUUAAUAACCUUGGCGAUUGACGUUACUCGCAGAAGAAGCACCGGCUAACUCCGUGCCAGCAGCCGCGGUAAUACGGAGGGUGCAGCGUUAAUCGGAAUUACUGGGCGUAAAGCGCACGCAGGCGGUCUGUCAAGUCGGAUGUGAAAUCCCCGGGCUCAACCUGGGAACUGCAUUCGAAACUGGCAGGCUAGAGUCUUGUAGAGGGGGGUAGAAUUCCAGGUGUAGCGGUGAAAUGCGUAGAGAUCUGGAGGAAUACCGGUGGCGAAGGCGGCCCCCUGGACAAAGACUGACGCUCAGGUGCGAAAGCGUGGGGAGCAAACAGGAUUAGAUACCCUGGUAGUCCACGCCGUAAACGAUGUCGACUUGGAGGUUGUGCCCUUGAGGCGUGGCUUCCGGAGCUAACGCGUUAAGUCGACCGCCUGGGGAGUACGGCCGCAAGGUUAAAACUCAAAUGAAUUGACGGGGGCCCGCACAAGCGGUGGAGCAUGUGGUUUAAUUCGAUGCAACGCGAAGAACCUUACCUACUCUUGACAUCCAGAGAACUUAGCAGAGAUGCUUUGGUGCCUUCGGGAACUCUGAGACAGGUGCUGCAUGGCUGUCGUCAGCUCGUGUUGUGAAAUGUUGGGUUAAGUCCCGCAACGAGCGCAACCCUUAUCCUUUGUUGCCAGCGAUUCGGUCGGGAACUCAAAGGAGACUGCCAGUGAUAAACUGGAGGAAGGUGGGGAUGACGUCAAGUCAUCAUGGCCCUUACGAGUAGGGCUACACACGUGCUACAAUGGCAUAUACAAAGAGAAGCGACCUCGCGAGAGCAAGCGGACCUCAUAAAGUAUGUCGUAGUCCGGAUUGGAGUCUGCAACUCGACUCCAUGAAGUCGGAAUCGCUAGUAAUCGUAGAUCAGAAUGCUACGGUGAAUACGUUCCCGGCCUUGUACACACCGCCCGUCACACCAUGGGAGUGGGUUGCAAAAGAAGUAGGUAGCUUAACCUUCGGGAGGGCG
This 1404-nucleotide ribosomal RNA is filed under the name Klebsiella sp. Ba-2. Its description in RNAcentral is "bacterial SSU rRNA". It matches the Rfam family "Bacterial small subunit ribosomal RNA". The record is from RNAcentral. Lineage: Bacteria; Pseudomonadati; Pseudomonadota; Gammaproteobacteria; Enterobacterales; Enterobacteriaceae.